This 101-nucleotide ribosomal RNA is filed under the name uncultured bacterium. RNAcentral describes it as "partial 16S ribosomal RNA". The record is from RNAcentral.
AAGGCCACCGGUUGGUUAAGACUGCUUUUAUACCGGAAUAAACCUUUGUUCGUGAACAGAGCUGAAUGUACGGUAAGAAUAAGGAUCGGCUAACUCCGUGC